AGAAUGAACGCUGGCGGCAUGCCUAACACAUGCAAGUCGAACGAGACCUUCGGGUCUAGUGGCGCACGGGUGCGUAACGCGUGGGAAUCUGCCCCUUGGUUCGGAAUAACAGCGAGAAAUUGCUGCUAAUACCGGAUAAUGACGUAAGUCCAAAGAUUUAUCGCCCAGGGAUGAGCCCGCGUAGGAUUAGCUUGUUGGUGAGGUAAAGGCUCACCAAGGCGACGAUCCUUAGCUGGUCUGAGAGGAUGAUCAGCCACACUGGGACUGAGACACGGCCCAGACUCCUACGGGAGGCAGCAGUGGGGAAUAUUGGACAAUGGGCGAAAGCCUGAUCCAGCAAUGCCGCGUGAGUGAUGAAGGCCUUAGGGUUGUAAAGCUCUUUUACCCGGGAUGAUAAUGACAGUACCGGGAGAAUAAGCUCCGGCUAACUCUGUGCCAGCAGCCGC
RNAcentral lists this ribosomal RNA (446 nucleotides) under uncultured bacterium. RNAcentral describes it as "SSU rRNA". It matches the Rfam family "Bacterial small subunit ribosomal RNA", at positions 26 to 518 of the family's 1533-position model. The record is from RNAcentral.